GCUUCGGCGGGCGGCCCCGCGAGGGGCCCGCAAGGCCCGCGAGGGCGCCCGCCGGAGGAGCGCGAACACUCUGUUUUCUUAGCGCCUCUCUGAGUGGAUACAGCGAAAUGAAUCAAAACUUUCAACAACGGAUCUCUUGGUUCUGGCAUCGAUGAAGAACGCAGCGAAAUGCGAUAAGUAAUGUGAAUUGCAGAAUUCAGUGAAUCAUCGAAUCUUUGAACGCACAUUGCGCCCGCCAGUAUUCUGGCGGGCAUGCCUGUUCGAGCGUCAUUUCAACCCCUCAAGCCCCGCUUGGUGCUGGGGCCCUACGUGCGCCGUAGGCCCCGAAUUACAGUGGCGGGCUCGCCGCGAUCCCGAGCGUAGUAGCACACCUCGCUCUGGGGCUCCGCGGCGGGCGCCGGCCGUGAAAACGACCAAACACAAACGCAAGGUUGACCUCGGAUCAGGUAGGAAUACCCGCUGAACUUAAGCAUAUCAAUAAGCGGAGGAAAAGAAACCAACAGGGAUUGCCCCAGUAACGGCGAGUGAAGCGGCAACAGCUCAAAUUUGAAAUCUGGCCUCGGCCCGAGUUGUAAUUUGCAGAGGAUGCUUUUGGUGCGGCGCCUACUGAGUCCCCUGGAACGGGGCGCCAGAGAGGGUGAGAGCCCCGUAUAGUGGGACGCCUAGCCUGUGUAAAGCUCCUUCGACGAGUCGAGUAGUUUGGGAAUGCUGCUCAAAACGGGAGGUAAAUUCCUUCUAAAGCUAAAUACCGGCCAGAGACCGAUAGCGCACAAGUAGAGUGAUCGAAAGAUGAAAAGCACUUUGAAAAGAGGGUCAAAAGCACGUGAAAUUGUUGAAAGGGAAGCGCUCGUGACCAGACUUGCGCCGGGCCGAUCAUCCGGUGUUCUCACCGGUGCACUCGGCCCGGCUCAGGCCAGCAUCGGUUCUCGCGGGGGGACAAAAGCCCUGGGAACGUAGCUCCUCCGGGAGUGUUAUAGCCCUGGGCACAAUACCCUCGCGGGGACCGAGGACCGC
Molecule: ribosomal RNA, 1014 nt
Filed under: Sordariomycetes sp. genotype 103
Lineage: Eukaryota; Fungi; Ascomycota; Sordariomycetes
Description: eukaryotic LSU rRNA
Rfam family: Eukaryotic large subunit ribosomal RNA (bases 433-1014)
Source: RNAcentral